UGGGGAAUUUUGCACAAUGGGGGAAACCCUGAUGCAGCGACGCCGCGUGAUUUAGAAGGCCUUCGGGUUGUAAAAAUCUUUUCUAUGGGAAGAAAAUGACAGUACCAUAGGAAUAAGGACCGGCUAAUUACGUGCCAGCAGCCGCGGUAAUACGUAAGGUCCGAGCGUUGUCCGGAAUCAUUGGGCGUAAAGGGUACGUAGGCGGGUAAGCAAGUUAGAAGUGAAAUCCUAUAGCUCAACUAUAGUAAGCUUUUAAAACUGCUCAUCUUGAGGUAUGGAAGGGAAAGUGGAAUUCCUAGUGUAGCGGUGAAAUGCGCAGAUAUUAGGAGGAAUACCGGUGGCGAAGGCGACUUUCUGGCCAUAACCUGACGCUGGGGUACGAAAGCGUGGGUAGCAAACAGG
This 402-nucleotide ribosomal RNA is filed under the name bacterium. RNAcentral describes it as "partial 16S ribosomal RNA". It matches the Rfam family "Bacterial small subunit ribosomal RNA", at positions 355 to 776 of the family's 1533-position model. The record is from RNAcentral.